Molecule: ribosomal RNA, 253 nt
Filed under: uncultured bacterium
Lineage: Bacteria
Description: partial 16S ribosomal RNA
Rfam family: Bacterial small subunit ribosomal RNA
Source: RNAcentral
UACGAAGGGUGCUAGCGUUGUUCGGAAUUACUGGGCGUAAAGAGCGCGUAGGCGGUCAUACAAGUCAGGGGUGAAAUCCCACAGCUUAACUGUGGAACUGCCUUUGAAACUGUAUGGCUGGAGUAUGUGAGGGGAUAGCGGAAUUCCUAAUGUAGAGGUGAAAUUCGUAGAUAUUAGGAGGAACACCGGUGGCGAAGGCGGCUAUCUGGCACAUUACUGACGCUGAGGCGCGAAAGCGUGGGGAUCAAACAGG